AGAGCGAACGCUGGCGGCAGGCUUAACACAUGCAAGUCGAGCGCCCGUAGCAAUACGGGAGCGGCAGACGGGAGAGUAACACGUGGGAACGUACCCUUCAGUUCGGAACAACCCAGGGAAACUUGGGCUAAUACCGAAUACGUCCGUAAGGAGAAAGAUUUACCGCUGAAGGAUCGGCCCGCGUCUGAUUAGCUAGUUGGUGAGGUAAUGGCUCACAAGGCUACGAUCAGUAGCUGGUCUGAGAGGAUGAUCAGCCU
RNAcentral lists this ribosomal RNA (257 nucleotides) under uncultured soil bacterium. Its description in RNAcentral is "partial 16S ribosomal RNA". It matches the Rfam family "Bacterial small subunit ribosomal RNA", at positions 26 to 310 of the family's 1533-position model. The record is from RNAcentral.